GAAGAAUAUGUCUUGAUAAGAUGUUCUCCUUGUCCUUUUAUCUGUGGACAAAAAGUGCUAAAAGGUUCACACCUCUUGAGUGCAGAGAGUGGUAGUAAAGAGAGGGAGCCCAAGAGAACCUUGUUUUAAGACCCACAUCUCUUCCAUUAUGACUAAGUGUGCCAAGAAACACGACAAAACAGCUGGGAGACGGAUGACCAUGGAAAUGGUUGAAUCGCAACAGGAUGAUAACGCAGUGGAUUCUAUGUCAGAUAGAGACGCUGUUCACAAUCGCAGUCAGCCAGACAAGCGUGAGAUUUCCUCAGUAUCUCAGCUGGAUCUGGGGUCCUAAAGAGUUGAGGUGCCCUAAAGAUCAAACAGCAGAAACGUAUUUUG
Molecule: long non-coding RNA, 375 nt
Filed under: Gallus gallus (chicken)
Lineage: Eukaryota; Metazoa; Chordata; Aves; Galliformes; Phasianidae
Description: long non-coding RNA NONGGAT003730
Source: RNAcentral